This 366-nucleotide ribosomal RNA is filed under the name uncultured bacterium. RNAcentral's name for it is "bacterial SSU rRNA". It matches the Rfam family "Bacterial small subunit ribosomal RNA", at positions 28 to 418 of the family's 1533-position model. The record is from RNAcentral.
GAUGAACGCUGGCGGUAUGCCUAACACAUGCAAGUCGUACGAGAGUUUUUAACUCUAGUGGCGGACGGGUGAGUAACACGUGAGAAUUUGCCUUUAGGAGGGGGAUAACAAUUGGAAACGAAUGCUAAUACCCCAUAUGCUUUUGAGUGAAAUGGAUUUUAUCCGCCUAGAGAGAAGCUCGCGGCUGAUUAGCUUGUUGGUAAGGUAAGAGCUUACCAAGGCGACGAUCAGUAUCUGGUUUGAGAGGACGAUCAGACACACUGGAACUGAGACACGGUCCAGACUCCUACGGGAGGCAGCAGUGGGGAAUUUUCCGCAAUGGGCGAAAGCCUGACGGAGCAAUACCGCGUGAGGGAAGAAUGCCUA